GACGUAGGGCGCGAGCGUUGUCCGGAUUUAUUGGGCGUAAAGAGCUCGUAGGCGGCUUGUCGCGUCGACCGUGAAAACUUGGGGCUCAACCCCAAGCCUGCGGUCGAUACGGGCAGGCUAGAGUUCGGUAGGGGAGACUGGAAUUCCUGGUGUAGCGGUGAAAUGCGUAGAUAUCUGGAGGAAUACCGGUGGCGAAGGCGGCAUUCUGGACCAUAACUGACACUGAGAGACGAAAGCCAGGGGAGCAAACGGG
Molecule: ribosomal RNA, 253 nt
Filed under: uncultured bacterium
Lineage: Bacteria
Description: partial 16S ribosomal RNA
Rfam family: Bacterial small subunit ribosomal RNA
Source: RNAcentral